CAGUGUUUAGGUGCGGCGCGUCCCUGUUUCCCGCGAGGGAGCGGUCGGCGCGCCCCCGAAACCCCACCCUUGAAUACUAGACCAUCUGUUGCUUCGGCGGGCCCGCCCCCGGGCCGCUGGGGGAUCUCCCCUGGCCAGCGCCCGCCGAGGAAUCAUUUGAACCCUAUGUGAAUAUAUGGCUGUCUGAGUGGGCUUAUGAAUCAUUA
This 206-nucleotide unclassified non-coding RNA is filed under the name uncultured Auxarthron. Its description in RNAcentral is "sequence contains ITS1". Lineage: Eukaryota; Fungi; Ascomycota; Eurotiomycetes; Onygenales. The record is from RNAcentral.